UGUUAUGACUAUGUGUAGCUGUCCAGC
This 27-nucleotide non-coding RNA is filed under the name Mus musculus (house mouse). Lineage: Eukaryota; Metazoa; Chordata; Mammalia; Rodentia; Muridae. The record is from RNAcentral.